AAGAAGCUUCCUCCUCCGCAUCGCGCACACCUCAUCGUCGCUUCUUUCCUAAUCGGGGAGUUGUUGCCUUCACGAAUUGGGACGGUUUUCCGCGACAUCAUUGUGGAAAGGUACGUCCUGGAGCCGAUUGCCAGCGCACGCAACAACCCGAGUCCCGACCCACGCACCACCGUAUAUCGCGGCAGCCAAAAUGGGAUCGGUCCACCGCAGUUGGGGUUCAUUCUGCUCCUCGCGAACUGUGCAAGCUCAUGAAUCUCGACAACGACAACAAAACACGAGCUCCAUCAGGCCGCGUGAGAACCACCCACCAGUUGGUAACGACUCAUUCCCUACGAGGAAAUUCUCCAUGCACUUAUUGCUUGAAUUUCGAGCCGUCAAACUCGCGUAACUCCAUGAGAGUGUGCGCCAAAUAACACAGACAGUUCGGCAUAAUGACCCAGCUCGCAAAGGAAUCGUGGUGGUUACGACUUCAUCGCCGGGCGGCACCCAGUAUAACAUCAAUAGAAUAAAAUUCACUCACUUCACUAUUUGUCGUCGUGAAACAUUUCAUAAGCUUCAGCGGAGUGGCCCCACCGACCUUCCAAUGUAUGUGAACUUUUACAUUUUUUUCAUUUGUUUUUUUAAUUGUUUUUUUUUUUUUUUAAUUGCAUCUUUUUCAUUUCUGAAAACAAAUGGUGCUCAGGAUACAGAAACUGGAUUCAAAUGGACUUGGGCAAAAAUGGUGUGUAAAAUUCAUUCUGUGGCUCAAAGAUCCUUCUUUGUUGCAUGGAAUUGUCCCUCAUGGUAGAUGAAGAUCUUCCCUUGAUUUGUGCACACGCUUGAUCUAAAUGGUGCAGCUUACUCCAUCAAAAUGGACGCUUACAAAGUAUAAUUAUUGAAAGGGACCUCUCUGAAUUUAUUUGGUGCCCAAAAAACAUAACCUGUGUUUAUUCAUUUAUAUUAUUAUUUGCGUUAGAGAAGGUAGAAGAGGACUUUUAUAUGUGUGUAUAUGUGUAUAGGAGUAGCAAAUAUUUCUAAGCUGUAUCUUAGUUUGGUUAAGUUUUAAUAAAUAAAUUUGUCUGCAAUUUCCUAAUUUUUAUUUUCCACAAUAGUUUAAUUUUUAAAAAAAUUAAGCAAGUGAAUUUGAAUCCUUUUAAUAAAUUUCCAUCAAAAGUUUAG
RNAcentral lists this long non-coding RNA (1158 nucleotides) under Physcomitrium patens. RNAcentral's name for it is "long non-coding RNA (PPAT_LNC012581)". Lineage: Eukaryota; Viridiplantae; Streptophyta; Bryopsida; Funariales; Funariaceae. The record is from RNAcentral.